GGUUAAGCGACUAAGCGUACACGGUGGAUGCCCUGGCAGUCAGAGGCGAUGAAGGACGUGCUAAUCUGCGAUAAGCGUCGGUAAGGUGAUAUGAACCGUUAUAACCGGCGAUUUCCGAAUGGGGAAACCCAGUGUGAUUCGUCA
Molecule: ribosomal RNA, 144 nt
Filed under: Escherichia coli
Lineage: Bacteria; Pseudomonadati; Pseudomonadota; Gammaproteobacteria; Enterobacterales; Enterobacteriaceae
Also listed under: 3 other names
Description: partial 23S ribosomal RNA
Rfam family: Bacterial large subunit ribosomal RNA
Source: RNAcentral